This 253-nucleotide ribosomal RNA is filed under the name uncultured bacterium. RNAcentral's name for it is "partial 16S ribosomal RNA". It matches the Rfam family "Bacterial small subunit ribosomal RNA", at positions 524 to 776 of the family's 1533-position model. The record is from RNAcentral.
UACGGAGGGUGCGAGCGUUGUCCGGAAUCACUGGGCGUAAAGGGCGCGUAGGCGGCCCGAUAAGUAGGGGGUGAAAUCCUGCGGCUUAACCGCAGGGCUGCCUUCUAAACUGUCGGGCUAGAGCACGGUAGAGGCAGAUGGAAUUCCCGGUGUAGCGGUGGAAUGCGUAGAGAUCGGGAAGAACAUCAGUGGCGAAGGCGGUCUGCUGGGCCGUUGCUGACGCUGAUGCGCGCCAGCGUGGGGAGCAAACAGG